RNAcentral lists this ribosomal RNA (425 nucleotides) under uncultured bacterium. Its description in RNAcentral is "partial 16S ribosomal RNA". It matches the Rfam family "Bacterial small subunit ribosomal RNA", at positions 354 to 796 of the family's 1533-position model. The record is from RNAcentral.
GUGGGGAAUAUUGGACAAUGGGCGCAAGCCUGAUCCAGCCAUGCCGCGUGAGUGAUGAAGGCCCUAGGGUUGUAAAGCUCUUUCGCCAGGGACGAUAAUGACGGUACCUGGAUAAGAAGCCCCGGCUAACUUCGUGCCAGCAGCCGCGGUAAUACGAAGGGGGCUAGCGUUGUUCGGAAUCACUGGGCGUAAAGCGCACGUAGGCGGAUCUUUAAGUCAGGGGUGAAAUCCCGAGGCUCAACCUCGGAACUGCCUUUGAUACUGGGGAUCUCGAGUCCGGGAGAGGUGAGUGGAACUGCGAGUGUAGAGGUGAAAUUCGUAGAUAUUCGCAAGAACACCAGUGGCGAAGGCGGCUCACUGGCCCGGUACUGACGCUGAGGUGCGAAAGCGUGGGGAGCAAACAGGAUUAGAUACCCCGGUAGUCC